RNAcentral lists this microRNA precursor (205 nucleotides) under Oryza glumipatula. RNAcentral's name for it is "MIR812 microRNA precursor family". It matches the Rfam family "MIR812 microRNA precursor family". Lineage: Eukaryota; Viridiplantae; Streptophyta; Magnoliopsida; Poales; Poaceae. The record is from Rfam by way of RNAcentral.
AAUGUAUGACGCCCUUGAUUUUUUUGUCUAACGUUUGACCAUUCGUCUUAUUUAAAAAAUUUAUGCAAUUAUCAUUUAUCUUAUUGUGAUUUGAUUCGUCAUCAAUAUUAUUUAAGUAUGACAUAAAUAUUUUCAUAUUUACAUAAAAAUUUUGAAUAAAACGAAUAGUUAAACGUUGGUCGAAAAGUCAACGGCGUCAUACAUU